GACGAACGCUGGCGGCGUGCUUAACACAUGCAAGUCGAACGGAAAGGCCCUGCUUUUGUGGGGUGCUCGAGUGGCGAACGGGUGAGUAACACGUGAGUAACCUGCCCUUGACUUUGGGAUAACUUCAGGAAACUGGGGCUAAUACCGGAUAGGAGCUCCUGCUGCAUGGUGGGGGUUGGAAAGUUUCGGCGGUUGGGGAUGGACUCGCGGCUUAUCAGCUUGUUGGUGGGGUAGUGGCUUACCAAGGCUUUGACGAGUAGCCGGCCUGGGAGGGUGACCGGCCACAUUGGGACUGGGAUACGGCCCAGACUCCUACGGGAGGCAGCAGUGGGGAAUAUUGCACAAUGGACGGAAGCCUGAUGCAGCAACGCCGCGUGCGGGAUGACGGCCUUCGGGUUGUAAACCGCUUUCGCCUGUGACGAAGCGUGAGUGACGGUAAUGGGUAAAGAAGCACCGGCUAACUACGUG
RNAcentral lists this ribosomal RNA (468 nucleotides) under uncultured bacterium. RNAcentral's name for it is "partial 16S ribosomal RNA". It matches the Rfam family "Bacterial small subunit ribosomal RNA", at positions 28 to 507 of the family's 1533-position model. The record is from RNAcentral.